RNAcentral lists this transfer RNA (64 nucleotides) under Phyllotreta tetrastigma. Its description in RNAcentral is "tRNA-Pro". The record is from RNAcentral. Lineage: Eukaryota; Metazoa; Arthropoda; Insecta; Coleoptera; Chrysomelidae.
CAGAUAUUAGUUUUUAUAAAAUUUUAAUUUUGGAGGUUAAAGAAAGAAGUAAUUCUAUAUCUGA